GACGAACGCUGGCGGCGUGCUUAACACAUGCAAGUCGAACGGAAAGGCCCUGCUUUUGUGGGGUGCUCGAGUGGCGAACGGGUGAGUAACACGUGAGUAACCUGCCCUUGACUUUGGGAUAACUUCAGGAAACUGGGGCUAAUACCGGAUAUGAUCUCCUGCUGCAUGGUGGGGGUUGGAAAGUUUCGGCGGUUGGGGAUGGACUCGCGGCUUAUCAGCUUGUUGGUGGGGUAGUGGCUUACCAAGGCUUUGACGGGUAGCCGGCCUGAGAGGGUGACCGGCCACAUUGGGACUGAGAUACGGCGCAGACUCCUACGGGAGGCAGCAGUGGGGAAUAUUGCACAAUGGGCGGAAGCCUGAUGCAGCAACGCCGCGUGCGGGAUGACGGCCUUCGGGUUGUAAACCGCUUUCGCCUGUGACGAAGCGUGAGUGACGGUAAUGGGUAAAGAAGCACCGGCUAACUACGUG
RNAcentral lists this ribosomal RNA (468 nucleotides) under uncultured bacterium. RNAcentral's name for it is "partial 16S ribosomal RNA". It matches the Rfam family "Bacterial small subunit ribosomal RNA", at positions 28 to 507 of the family's 1533-position model. The record is from RNAcentral.